Cyprinus carpio (common carp) is the source of this 361-nucleotide long non-coding RNA. RefSeq lists it as uncharacterized. The transcript is spliced from 3 exons. Lineage: Eukaryota; Metazoa; Chordata; Actinopteri; Cypriniformes; Cyprinidae. The record is from RefSeq and is a predicted model, not a curated record.
UUUGUAGUUUGUAGGAUUUAAGUGACAUACUCCACCGUGAUGCAGAUUAAAGGAAGAAAACCAGCAGAAAAACAGCAACAGGAUGACGUGACUUACUCCAGCGUCACAGAUAUUAAAGGGAAAAAGAGACCUCACAAAAAGGAAGAGGGGGUUGUGUAUUCAACUGUGGCAGACAUGAGCAGAUCUACUCAGGUAAAUUUGCACAGCCAUACUAUUUUAGAAAACACUUCUCCAAUUUCUCGUUUGUCAUCAUUUUAACACUGCUUGAUUUGAAAGCUUCUGCUUAAAUGCUUGACAUGUGUUUUGUGAGUGCAUCUUGCAUUACUUACACAUCUAAAAUGAAUUUAAAAAGAACAAAGAU